GGACCCAUAGCUCAGCGGUAGAGCAUCUGAUUCCAGUUCAAUGGUAUAUUCUGCAUCCAGAAGGUCAUCCGUUCAAAUCGGGUUGGGUUCA
RNAcentral lists this transfer RNA (91 nucleotides) under Nemania sp. FL0916. Its description in RNAcentral is "tRNA-Trp". It matches the Rfam family "tRNA". From Rfam's summary of the family: Transfer RNA (tRNA) molecules are approximately 80 nucleotides in length. Their secondary structure includes four short double-helical elements and three loops (D, anti-codon, and T loops). Further hydrogen bonds mediate the characteristic L-shaped molecular structure. tRNAs have two regions of fundamental functional importance: the anti-codon, which is responsible for specific mRNA codon recognition, and the 3' end, to which the tRNAs corresponding amino acid is attached (by aminoacyl-tRNA synthetases). tRNAs cope with the degeneracy of the genetic code in two manners: having more than one tRNA (with a specific anti-codon) for a particular amino acid; and 'wobble' base-pairing, i.e. permitting non-standard base-pairing at the 3rd anti-codon position. Lineage: Eukaryota; Fungi; Ascomycota; Sordariomycetes; Xylariales; Xylariaceae. The record is from RNAcentral.